AGCAGCCGCGGUAAUUCCAGCUCCAAUAGCGUAUAUUAAAGUUGUUGCAGUUAAAAAGCUCGUAGUUGAAUUUUGGAUUCUGCCAGUUGGUCCAUCUUUUGAUGAGUACUGAUUGUGUGGGGUCUAUCCGCCUGGUGAUACGUAAUGUACUUUAUUGUAUGUUGCGGGUAGUCAGGACCUUUACCUUGAAAAAAUUAGAGUGUUUAAAGCAGGCUUAUGCCGGAAUACAUUAGCAUGGAAUAAUAGAAUAGGACGAUGUUGUUUUAUUUUGUUGGUUUCUAGGACAACCGUAAUGAUUAAUAGGGAUAGUUGGGGGCAUUAGUAUUCAAUUGUCAGAGGUGAAAUUCUUGGAUUUAUUGAAGACUAACUACUGCGAAAGCAUUUGCCAAGGAUGUUUUCAUUAAUCAAGAACGAAAGUUAGGGGAUCGAAGACGAUCAGAUACCGUCGUAGUCUUAACCAUAAACUAUGCCGACUAGGGAUCGGGCGAUGUUGUUUCCAUGACUCGCUCGGCACCUUAUG
This 520-nucleotide ribosomal RNA is filed under the name uncultured Archaeosporaceae. RNAcentral describes it as "SSU rRNA". It matches the Rfam family "Eukaryotic small subunit ribosomal RNA", at positions 569 to 1092 of the family's 1831-position model. Lineage: Eukaryota; Fungi; Glomeromycota; Glomeromycetes; Archaeosporales; Archaeosporaceae. The record is from RNAcentral.